UGCCAGCAGCCGCGGUAGUACGGAGGGUGCAAGCGUUAUCCGGAUUUAUUGGGUUUAAAGGGUGCGUAGGCGGGAUAGUAAGUCAGUGGUGAAAGCCCACAGCUCAACUGUGGAACUGCCAUUGAUACUGCUAUUCUUGAAUAUAGUUGAGGUGAGCGGAAUGUGUGGUGUAGCGGUGAAAUGCAUAGAUAUCACACAGAACACCGAUUGCGAAGGCAGCUCACUAAGCUAUCAUUGGCGCUGAGGCACGAAAGCGUGGGGAGCGAACAGGAUUAGAUA
This 279-nucleotide ribosomal RNA is filed under the name uncultured bacterium. Its description in RNAcentral is "partial 16S ribosomal RNA". It matches the Rfam family "Bacterial small subunit ribosomal RNA", at positions 506 to 784 of the family's 1533-position model. The record is from RNAcentral.